GUGUUCACUUCAGCAGCACAUAUACUAACAUUGGAACGAUACGAAGAAGAUUAUCAUGGCCCCUGCGCAAGGGUGACUCAUAUAUUCAUGAAGCAGUCCAUAUUUUU
Tursiops truncatus (common bottlenose dolphin) is the source of this 107-nucleotide small nuclear RNA. Lineage: Eukaryota; Metazoa; Chordata; Mammalia; Artiodactyla; Delphinidae. The record is from Ensembl.